Paramisgurnus dabryanus is the source of this 2102-nucleotide long non-coding RNA. RefSeq lists it as uncharacterized. Lineage: Eukaryota; Metazoa; Chordata; Actinopteri; Cypriniformes; Cobitidae. The record is from RefSeq and is a predicted model, not a curated record.
CAGUUAUCAGUUAGCGCCGCAUGAAAUCGAACACACUUAUUUCACUGCAUGGUCAAUGUUGGUUUAAACACUUACUCACUUCAAAGAAAAACGGUGGUGGGUAAAUCUGUCUGGUGCACAGGUAGAUCUCUCGCCUGAACGACAUGCCCAACACGUCCAUGUCAUCGGGUCCAUAUCGAAAAGCGCAUGAUAAGGUAACGUACGCUUGGGGGCGACAGAAACAUAAGACACAUACCGAUCCUUCCUGCAGGGGGUUGUAUCUACCUGAGAGGAUUGGGUUGGUUCCUCUUGGUCAGCACUGGAGGAGAUUACCUAACACAGUCAGGGCUCAAGGAGGGAUGGUUUGCUCACAUGCAGAGAACUGUGGUGUCUGCAAUGGGCUUUGUAUGUAAACAGCUCACACUGGAUGAGGAUUUAUAUGAGAUCAGUCUGCGAUAGACCCGGUAGACAGAAAUUUUAAAAACAUAGGAAAAAUUUGGGCAUGUUUCAAAUGAAAGUAUAACAAUUACAGACCAGACAUGUAAAGGUUGGAUACUGAGAUUAUGAAUAUAAAUACUUUAUAGGGCGGUAAUGCAUGAUUAAGAAUAAAUGUAGAAAAGCUAAACGUAUGUGGUGGAAAACAAAACUUAAAGUAUAUUAUAGCAUCUAUAAGACAGUCUUCGUGCCUUCAAUGUAGAACUACGCACAGCUAGACAGACCUUUUUCUCAAACAUUAUAAACAACAACAUAAAAUCAAGUUCCUAGUGAAAUGCUCUCUGACAACAAAUGCAAUGACUUUGCAACCUUUUUCUCCGAGAAGAUCAGUAAUAUCAGAAUGCCGAUCAAUAAAAAAGUAAGAUUUUUUGGUUCUGGUCAGAAUUCUGGCAGCAGCGUUCUGUAUGAGCUGUAGCUGUCUAAUGGUCUUUUUGGGGAUCCCAGUAAGGAGUCCAUAGCAGUAAUCCACCCUGCUGACGGUUCACACGGCAGUAAUUGCGAAAGAGUCUGUGAAAAGUGUAAACUGCAAGGGAAAUCCCCAAAGGGCUCAGUGUGAUGUGCCACACAGCAGUAAUAGCGAAAGAGUCUGGGAAAAAGCGUAGUGAGCAUCUGACAUGGUGGAUAUGAGAAGUUAAAUUUCCUUUCCAAAUAAGGGGUGUUUAAGUGUUUAGGAAUUACAUGAUGUGGGAAUAUGUAUCUUUGUUUUAAUUGUGAUUUUAUUUCUUGUAUUUGUAUUUUUUUUUCUUUAUAGCCUGUUGUUUUCUCAUUUCUAUGUAAAGCACUUCGAAUGACCUUUGUAUAUGAAAUGUGCAUUACAAAGAAACUUGCCUUGCCUAAUCCCAGAUAGUCAGUGUCAGCAAUGUAAGACUCUAUAGGAAGCUGAUAUGGGAUUACCUUCAUGAGUGGCGUAAUCUAACUCUGUAUUUCAGACAGCUAGUGAAUAGUAAUUGUUUCCAUAAGCCAACCACAGAUACACACAAUUACCCAAAUACAGACUUGAACCUUAAAUCUGUUGGAGUGGUUGUCUCAGAUUACCCAGUGAGAUUUAGUUGUAUAUUUUAUAUUCCAUUUUUACAGCAUGAUGGAAACAAGCAAUGCAAAUUAUAAGCUCUAUGUUAGACUCUAUAUAUGAGGAGCCCACUAUAGCCAAAAUAAACUUGAAUUUGUUGACAUGUUUUUGCCAAAAUAACUUGUGAUAUUCCAUCAUGAAAGCAAAGUUAUUUAAAUUGCAUUUAUUUAUUUAUUUUCUUUCAAUAAUUUAAACGUCGAUUAAAUUUUAAUUGACAGCCCAAAUUUCGCCUUGUUUUAGCCUAGAUCACUGGUUUUCAAACUGGGGUCGCGAGAUGGUGCCAGGGGGGCCCCAGUUUUAUGACAUUUUAUGAAAUACAUUAAAUUAUAAUGAAUUCUGUUUAAUUAAACCUAAAAAAAUAAGGCUACUAACCAACAGCACUACUUUUUGUAUAAUUUAUUGUAUAAAAACAUUGUAUAAUGUUUUUUUUUAAUAAAAUGUUGAGUUUUAGAACAGUUUUUUGUCACAAAGUUUCUUUGGGGGGCCGCGAAGGAAUGCACCAUACACAAGGGGGGUCACACGCUGAAAAAGUUUGGGAACCACUGGCCUAGAUGGCUAU